Molecule: ribosomal RNA, 475 nt
Filed under: Propionibacterineae bacterium CL1.49
Lineage: Bacteria; Bacillati; Actinomycetota; Actinomycetes; Propionibacteriales
Description: bacterial SSU rRNA
Rfam family: Bacterial small subunit ribosomal RNA
Source: RNAcentral
AUCCCUGGCUCAGGACGAACGCUGGCGGCGUGCUUAACACAUGCAAGUCGAGCGGAAAGGCCCUUCGGGGUACUCGAGCGGCGAACGGGUGAGUAACACGUGAGUAAUCUGCCCUUGGCUUUGGGAUAACUACCGGAAACGGUGGCUAAUACCGGAUACGACAACCGUCUGCAUGGACUGGUUGUGGAAAGUUUUUUCGGCCAGGGAUGUGCUCGCGGCCUAUCAGCUUGUUGGUGGGGUAAUGGCCUACCAAGGCUUCGACGGGUAGCCGGCCUGAGAGGGUGACCGGCCACACUGGGACUGAGACACGGCCCAGACUCCUACGGGAGGCAGCAGUGGGGAAUAUUGGACAAUGGGCGGAAGCCUGAUCCAGCAACGCCGCGUGAGGGAUGACGGCCUUCGGGUUGUAAACCUCUUUCAGUACCGACGAAGCGCCGAUGAUGGUGGUGACGGUAGGUACAGAAGAAGCACCGGC